CCAGAGAGAGAGAGAGAGAGAGAGAGAGAGAGAGAGAGAGAGAGAGAGAGAGAGAGAGAGAGAGAGAGAGAGAGAGAGAGAGAGAGAGAGAGAGAGAGAGAGAGAGAGAGAGAGAGAGAGAGAGAGAGAGAGAGAGAGAGAGAGAGAGAGAGAGAGAGAGAGAGAAAGAAAGAAAGAAAGAAAGAGAUCUUCCGGUGCCGAUUCCGGCAAUUUCCGGCAGCAAAAAUGGGCGACGUACCGAGUUAUUGCUCGACGAAGGAAUUCGUAUGCGUGAUCGCCUGAAUAGUACAUUUGCAGGCGAAAUUAGUUGAGGUCAGGCGUACACGGGUUGAGGCAUAGUUGUCCCUGCUUCCGCAUUGUAGGAUCUAUCGAACCUUCACCCUCUUUAAUUUUAUUUCUAUUAUGCCUUUUGUUUUAGAAUUGCUCUGAUAACCUGUGGGAUUAUUAUUAUUAAGUUGAGAUUUGUGUAAUGUGAAUUGGAAGAUGUUGUGAAUUGGGGAGCAGGGUGGCUCCAGAAGAAUAAGGAUAGAUUGCUUAGAAGUGUAAAUGUCUUUCUACAGGUCUUGGGUAGUCCACUUUUAGGGGAAGUUCUGCCAAAUUUUUGGUAAAAUUUCUUCUAAGGUGGGCCCCGCAGGGCCACUUCGAAUUUCAGGGUGAAAUUCGGGGCAGGUCC
Molecule: long non-coding RNA, 673 nt
Organism: Rosa rugosa (rugosa rose)
Lineage: Eukaryota; Viridiplantae; Streptophyta; Magnoliopsida; Rosales; Rosaceae
Exons: 3
Source: RefSeq, a predicted model, not a curated record